AACGAACGCUGGCGGCGCGCCUAAUACAUGCAAGUCGAGCGAGAAGACGUAGCAAUACGUUUGUAAAGCGGCGAACGGGUGAGGAAUACAUGGGUAACCUACCCUCGAGUGGGGAAUAACUAGCCGAAAGGUUAGCUAAUACCGCGUACGCUCCUUGGACUUCGGUUCAGGGAGGAAAGCGAUACCGUGGGUAUCGCGCUCUUGGAUGGGCUCAUGUCCUAUCAGCUUGUUGGGAGGUAACGGCUCACCAAGGCUUCGACGGGUAGCUGGUCUGAGAGGACGAUCAGCCACACUGGCACUGCGACACGGGCCAGACUCCUACGGGA
Molecule: ribosomal RNA, 326 nt
Filed under: uncultured bacterium
Lineage: Bacteria
Description: bacterial SSU rRNA
Rfam family: Bacterial small subunit ribosomal RNA
Source: RNAcentral